Molecule: unclassified non-coding RNA, 406 nt
Filed under: soil metagenome
Description: partial contains 5.8S ribosomal RNA, internal transcribed spacer 2, and large subunit ribosomal RNA
Rfam family: 5.8S ribosomal RNA (bases 1-121)
Source: RNAcentral
GAUGAAGAACGUAGCGAAAUGCGAUAAGUAAUGUGAAUUGCAGAAUUCAGUGAAUCAUCGAAUCUUUGAACGCACCUUGCACCCUUUGGCCAUUCCGAAGGGCAUGCCUGUUUGAGUAUCAUGAACACCUCAACUCUUCAUGGUUUUCCAUGAUGAGCUUGGACUUUGGGGGUCUUGCUGGCCUGUGGGUCGGCUCCUCUCAAAUGAAUCAGCUUGCCGGUUUUUGGUGGGCAUCACAGGUGUGAUAACUAUCUACGCUUGUGGUUUUCCACCAGGGUAACCUUCAGCAGUGGAGGUUCACUGGAGCUUACAAAUGUCUCUCCUCUGUGAGGACAGCCCUUUGAAUGUUUGAUCUCAAAUCAGGUAGGACUACCCGCUGAACUUAAGCAUAUCAAUAAGCGGAGGA